This 253-nucleotide ribosomal RNA is filed under the name uncultured bacterium. RNAcentral describes it as "partial 16S ribosomal RNA". It matches the Rfam family "Bacterial small subunit ribosomal RNA", at positions 524 to 776 of the family's 1533-position model. The record is from RNAcentral.
UACGGAGGGUGCAAGCGUUAUCCGGAUUCACUGGGUUUAAAGGGUGCGUAGGAGGGCAGGUAAGUCAGUGGUGAAAUCCCCGAGCUUAACUUGGGAACUGCCGUUGAUACUAUCUGUCUUGAAUAUUGUGGAGGUGAGCGGAAUAUGUCAUGUAGCGGUGAAAUGCUUAGAUAUGACAUAGAACACCAAUUGCGAAGGCAGCUCACUACACAAUCAUUGACGCUGAGGCACGAAAGCGUGGGGAUCAAACAGG